GUAUAAGAUUUAUAGGCACAAAGGCCCACUUAUUACAUUCUAUAACUAGUGUAUAUUGAAGGAACAUAGACCUGAAAAUGUAAAGAAAGACAAUAAAGUCAAUCCUCAAACCUGACAUGCUACAAAAGCAUUCAGAAAGAUAUCCAAGUCUACAAAAGGUGCACAGGUGGAAAUAUAAAAAUGACAAGUGUGCACAUGUUCCCUAGAGAACCAGCAGCAACUCAUCAGGUUUAUUUCAAUAAUGAUCCUUCCGCAGGUUCACCUACGGAAA
Molecule: unclassified non-coding RNA, 271 nt
Filed under: uncultured fungus
Lineage: Eukaryota; Fungi
Description: sequence contains ITS1
Source: RNAcentral